Small nuclear RNA from Suncus etruscus (white-toothed pygmy shrew), 164 nucleotides. RefSeq annotates it as U1 spliceosomal RNA. The transcript has a single exon. NCBI's taxonomy places the organism in Eukaryota, Metazoa, Chordata, Mammalia, Eulipotyphla, Soricidae. The record is from RefSeq and is a predicted model, not a curated record.
AUACUUACCUGGCAGGGGCGAUUCCAUGAUCAGGAAGGUGGUUUCCCCAGGGUGAGGCUGCCCAUUGCAUUUCAGGCGUGCUGCUCCCUGAGAUUGCUCCAACUGUGGGAAACUCGACUGCGUAAUUAACAGUAGUGAGGGGACUGCGUGUGCACUUUCCUCUG